AGGUUACUAACAUAGAAGGUAGUGACAGUGCCAGCAGAGUUUCCAGGGACAAGCUUGAGUUGCAUAUCGAAUCUUCCAAACAAGUACUCAUUCUUGGAUUGAAACCCUGAUCCAGAAGCUUGGUCGAGAGACAAAGUAAGGUCUCGACCAGCAUUGAGUAUCUUGGCGCGCUGAUCACCCCAAGUGAUUUCCGCGUCAUUGUAGAAAUCAGCAGCUGCCUGUGGAGCUUGGGUGGUCAUGAGAACUGAAAGUAACAGAAGCGAAGCGCUAACAUGCAGAUUGACAUGUUAUGAUGAGCAGUCGAAAUGAGAGAAUUAGUAUUCGCUGGGCUUGAAUGAAUCGAAAGUUAGAGAUUGGUAAUGAAAAAGAAGUAAAAUGUAUGUCGAGAGUGAUGGGUGAGGUAAGAAUGGGAAUGGGUAAUAUUUAUAGGUGGGAGUUGUUGUCAAUACCACACAAAAGGAAGCAUCCCAGACAGAGAAUGGAGUAUAUGUUGUUGACAGCUUGGAUUGUUGAGUUGACAACAUUUAGAAAAAGGAAAAUUAGGAGAGUAUUUAUGAAGGUUCUAGCAAUAGCAGAAAUCAGCAACGGGCAUCAUAGACGCACUACAUUGUUUGAUCGGGUACUGCAGUUGUUUUUACCAUUUUUUUGGUCAGUCGGGAAAGCUGUUCCUUUUAUUUUAUUUUUCUAAUGAAAAGAAGAGAAAAAUCAAUAAUUUGAAAGAUCAAAAUACCGUUUAUUAAAAAGUGAAAUUCAUUUUUAAUGAAACAUCUAAAUAUCAAAUGUCAAAAUAGCAAAAAUUGGUUAUCAUCAUUUAAUUUUUCCUAUUUAAUAAUAAUUAUUAUUAUACUAUUAAAAAAACUCUAUAUUAAUGAGGAAGUUGUAAUAUAACAAUUAUCUUACAAUCAUAAUAAUAUUCUCAACAAAAUUAUUAAUUUUAAAUUUAAAACUCAAACAAUUUAGUUUAAGAAACAAUUCUAUAAAAAAAAAAUUAUCAUAUUUUAUAGUUCAAAUCAAUAUGGAAUCCAUACCAAUACUAAAUUACAAAAUUUAGGUGUUAUCAUAUAAUAUUCUUUAUUAAAUAAUUGUUAUUUAUUAUAGUACUAUGAAAGGACUUUAAAAUCGACCGGGACUUUGUAAUAUAAUCAUUAUUACUACCAACAGACUGCAUUGCCAACAAAAUUAUUUUUUUUAAAAAAAAUUCAUAAAAUUUAAUUUAAGAAAAAGUUGUAUUAAUUAUUGUACUCCCUCUGUUUUUUAAUAUUUGACGCUUUGACUUUGAGCACGUACUUUUAAAUGUUUUGACUGAAUAGUUAAAAAUAUUAUUUUUUAAAUUUUCUUUUUCUGAAUAAAAAUAUAUAAUCAAAAUUUUAAUUUACAAAAGAAAUCAAUCAAAAUAAUAAUUUUUACUUUUUGAUCAACCCACCUGAAAAUAUGUGUCAAAAGUCAAAAUUUCAAAUAAUUAAAAACAGAGGGAAUAAUAUAUAAUAAUUUAAUUUAGGAAACUAUACUGCUACUCAUGAAAUGUAUAGCUAGCAACCAAAACGCAAGACAAAGUUUGGUAAAGUAGCAACUUAUAAAAUGCAGCAACUUUGGUACUCCUGUAUACUGCUACAUAAUGGUCUACCGGAGCUUGUAUUACUGAACCGUCAUACAUAUACAUACCUUGUAUCCAUUGCAAUCAUUCAAGCAAUAGAAUAUAGCAUAUAUACCGCGUUAAUGAUGCCUGUUGCUGGUUUCUGCAAACGUUGGAAUGUUCAUAAUUACUCUCCUUUCUCUAAAUUGUAACGGUACCAACUCAACAAUCCAGCCAGCUGUUAACAAAAUAAACACGCAUUUAGUUUUUUCUUAAACUUAUACAUUGUCCAUCCUGUGUCUGGCUCUGCGGUGCUUCCUUUUGUAGUAUAGUCAAACAACUUCCACCUAUUAUAAGUAUCAACCAUUUCAUUCUUACCUCAACCAUCACUCUUAACCUAAUAAUACUUUCAAUUUGAUUACACUCUCUCGUUUUUUCAUUUAUCCAAGCCCAGUGAAGUCUUCUUUCUGUCCGAGUGCUAAUUGUAACAUGUCUACCUUCAUUUCAGUGCUUCUUUUACUUUCUUUUCUCAUGAGCACCCAUGCUCCACAGGCAGCUGCUGAUUUCUACAAAGACGCAGAAAUUACUUGGGGUGAUCAGCGCGCCAAGAUACUCAAUGCUGGUAGCGACCUUACUUUGUCUCUCGACCAAGCUUCUGGCUCAGGCUUCCAAUCCAAGAAUGACUACUUGUUUGGAAGAUUCGAUAAUCGAUAUGCAACUCAAGCUCGUCCCUGGAAACUCUGCUGGAACUGUUACUACAUUUUAUGUUAGUAACCUUACAAAACAUUUUAUCGUAUUCAUGCACUAUAUGAUCUUUAGUUAACAAAGCUAUUUUUAUGCCUAAUAUCUAUUUAUAUCAUGUACUCGCAGCUAUCUUCUCAAGGAGCUGGACAUGAUGAGAUUGACUUUGAGUUUCUGGGAAACUCAUCAGGAAGUCCAUAUACAAUUCAUACAAAUGUGUUUGCGCAAGGCAAAGGUGACAAAGAACAACAAUUCCAGCUCUGGUUCGAUCCCACUUCUUCCUUCCACACCUACUCCAUUGUUUGGAAUCCCCAAAGGAUUAUGUAAGUAGACCUUUUUUACGUGACAUAUAACUUUCCUUUUUUAGAAAAACCAAAUUACGAAUUCUACUGCAAUUACUUUUGCUGACAAUAUCAAUUUUUUGGCCUUCAGUUUCUUGGUGGAUAACAACCCGAUCAGAGUAUUCAACAAUCAGGAAUCAAUAGGGGUGCCCUUCCCCAAGAGCCAGCACAUGAGAGUCUAUGCCAGCUUAUGGAAUGCUGAUGACUGGGCAACUGAUCAAGGCGGGCGUGUCAAGACCGACUGGACUAAAGCUCCAUUCACAGCCUACUACAGGAACUUCAACAUAAAAGGGUGUCCCAAAUAAUCUCCCGGAUCAUCAUCUUGUGGAUCAGGGCCGUCUGAAACUUUUCUGAGGCCCCGUGCUGAUUUUAAGAAUGAGACCCUUCCAAAUGACAAAACAAAAUUUUAAUAUAUUUAAAAUAACAUGAUAUCAUAAGCAAAAUUAGACUACUACAACUGAAAAAUUGUUUUUUUUAAGUAGUUAGACUUAAAUAUGUGUGUGGCCGUGUGGGAUUUACUGUUUGUGCAGUCUACUAGUUUGUGAGUAAGGAGAAGGAAUAAGAAGAAACGUGCAUGGCUGGGUCUUGGGAGUCGAGAAUUGAUUAGUGUUUAAAUAAAAUAAUGGUAAAAAUUAAAGAGAUAUUAAUAUCAUAUUAUAUUUAUCAUGAGUAUACCAAAAGAUAGAAAGAAGAAGUAAUAAAUUGGGGGCCCUAAAUUUUCAUGGGCCCUGUGCUGUUGCACUUGUUGCACUCCCUCAAAACCGACCCUGUUGUGGAUCAUCCACCGCUUCUUCAAGCACCAUCGAGGGAUGGAGAACACACGAGCUGGAUGCAGCUGGCCGAAACAGACUCCGAUGGGUACAAUCAAAGCAUAUGGUGUACAACUACUGCUCUGACAAACAGAGGUUUGCUAAUGCUGUCCCAGCUGAAUGCAGGCGUUCAAGAUUUCUCUAGACGACACAACCAUGAUUUUGAUGUCUGGUUUUGUGAUCAGCUUAUUGUGUAAUUCCAACAAAUAAAUAUAUUCUUUAUUCUUUGUAAUUGAAUUUCUGUUUUUUUUUAAUUCAAAUGUUAAAUAAAUCCGGUCACUUGAUUAUAUAUCAGAGAUCAACCAAUAAAAACGAAAAGUUCAUUUUAAUUUACUCCCAAAUUUUCAGCUUCUGUACCUUCAGAGCACUGAAAUAUACUUAAUUUUGUCGCAGCUGCAUUUUACCGAAAACAGGUACCGAUCAGCUUCAGUAUCUCGACUGAUCUUAGAUAUCUAAGCAUUAAAAGUCGGCAGACAAGAGAAACAUUUCACGUAUGGCUAAGUAGACCAGUUGAAAAACUGAAUAAUCGUAAACUGGGAAUAUAAAGAAUCAGUAUUGAAAAAGAAAUCGGAACCCGUGUUAAAAAAAACAAACAGAGAUGUGAUCAACGGCCAAGACACUGUUAACUUCAAUCACAAUAAAUAUUGAAUUCUGAGACUCAAAUUAUAUCUCUAGUAAUCGAACAUUGAAUUUAAUAUUUAUAUUAAAUAUCAGACUCAAUUUUAUGCAUGUACCCACUAUUUUUGUAAAAAUCAGUAAGAGUAUUUCCAACCCUCACAAGCCCUUAGCUAAAAGUCCAUGUGGCUUUCCAAAAUUAAAUUUUAUAAUCAAUGUUUACAAAAAAUAAACUCCAACCACAGCAACCCUUGUGUAUAAUUAUAGCCAUCCCCUUGACUAUAUUUGUCGAUUCACUACAGAUAUGUAGCGAAUUUCACUUCAAAAACAUCUCUGAACAGGGUUCUAGCACCAUGCCAAAUAUGUCCAAAGAAGAAGAGCAAAGCAAAAGAAGCAUGUCCAAAAGUAAACCAACCCCUUGGACUGCUACGAAAAACACCAUCGGAUUUCAAAGUAGCACGAUCUAAUUCAAAAAUUUCACCCAAUUGAGCGCGUCUAGCAUAUUUUUUCACAGUAGCAGGAUCACUAUAACUGACUCCGUUGAGUUCGCCACCGUAGAACUCAACAGUUACACCUACUUGUUCGACACUAUACUUCGAUUAUCUCUCGCAAUUUAUUUUCCUCUUUCCCACUGAUUACAUAUUAUUUAUUACCAUAUUAAGCUGAUAUAUUCUAUUUAUAAUAAUCUAAAUAUUAAUAACAUACUAUUUUUAAAUUAUAACCAAUAUAGCCAAUACCAUUAAAGCACAAUGUCUUACAGGUUCGGCAAAUUUUACAUAAUAUCACUACGCCAUAUAUGGCCUACGACAACAUCAAAAAAAUGAUGCCAUAACCCCAAAAUAUGUUGCCAUAGCCCGAAAAAGGGCUAUUGCAACAUAAAAUUUAAGUUGCACUUUUGCAUGCUGCCUUAGGCUUCUAUUGCAACAUUUAGGUAACCUACUGCAACACGGCUUUUUAUGUUACAAUAGACGUUCUAUUGCAACAUCUGACUAUCCUAUAGCAACAAAUAUAUUAUGUUACAUUACACCUUUUGAUUUGAAAAGAAAAAGGGGGACCCACAUGUGGGUCACACUUGUAGGUCCCACUUUUUGAGUCCACGUGGAUCCCACAUGUGGGUCCCACAUGUUAGUCCCAUGUUUGGACACCUAUUUUGUAGUCCCAUGUUUGCAACAAAUUUAUAAAAGAAAUUUAAAAUAUGCUCUUUAAAUAUUAAACAUUCCAAUAAACUAUUCUUUCUUACAAAUUUCAUAACAAAUCCAACCAAAUCAAAUUACCUAACAAUUCAAAACCAACUAAAAGUAACAACAAUUAGCCUGUGCUCUCUAGCCUUUUCUCUAAAAUACACCCUUCUCCAUACGUAAAUGAAGUGCAGGAUAUGUGAUUCCAAAGCUGUGACGAUAGGAGUCAUCUGUUCCACUAGCAAGAAACCCAAGCCUAGUGAAAUCCUUGAGCCAUUUCCACAUAAUCUUCAUUAACAGCAUGGACCGCAGCAUCAAAAAAAAAUUUGUAUAUUUUGCUGGAUGGAGAAACAAAAGCAAUUAAUAUAAAUACUUAAUUAAUAUCACAAUCAAUAUACUUGGAACAAAUAUUUUAGAAAGCCCAGGUCGUUUUUACUUGCGCGUAAACACAAUCAAUGACACAAGUGAAGAGAGUCAGAUAUUCACUAUAGAGAGAUACUCGAGUAAAUCACACUGUAACUUUAACAUACUUCACAUUAGCAAAGACAGGGGUUUCAAAAAUUAAAGUCUCGUAUGCUGCAUUGCUUACUGAGUAUUAUCACAUUUAACUAUACAAAUGAGCUAGACAAUCAAUUUGUAUAAGGACUUCAUUUAAAAUACUAAACAAAACCUUCUGAUUAAUCAAUAAUCGCAUAUUACUCAUAGAACAGGAAGGCGGCUAGAAAUUCAUUCAAAAGACACAAAGGUUAAAUGUAUACAGAAGAAAACUCGGUAUUUUGAUGGAUUUUAUUAGGUUUAGGAGUACUUUUUAUCAAAAGCACAUACUCCAGCUCUGUAGUUAUCAAAAAUACCCUAUAAUUCUGUAUAAACAAAUAAAGUUGUGUUACAUUGAGCAAUAUAGGAAUUAGAGGGGCAUUUUACAUGAUAAAUAUAGUAUAAGAUGAUUACCUCAACCCCACGAGAGCAGUAGGCAAACUAAUCUGACUCCUUCCUGGCUUUAGCUUCACUAGGGUCUCAAAAGCUUAAUUAUUAACAUCAUAUUUAGCCAGAAAACAACUUCUUACAUAGUAAAUCUUUACUACUAAUAAUUAUCAAGUCAGGGGAAGAACAAUAAUACAAUACAAGUUUACAACAUCAGGGGAAGAACGAUGCCGGCUCUGUAAACAGAGAGUUCAAAUCAUAUGGCAGAUAUAUACAACAAAAAAAGAACCAGUGCUUUCUAGAAAAACUACGUGCAACAUUAUACUGAUUCCUGAACAAAUCAACUCAACAAGUCAAAUGCCUAUAAAAAAUUACAACAUUCAAGACAAACUAUAAAAUCAGAAUGUUCCCAUUAGAGUUAAGAGAGAGGGAGGGAGAGACAGAGGGGAGACAGAGACACACACAGAGAGAGAAGGAGAGAGAGGGAGACAGAGAGAUGUGUAACAUAACAUACGACCACAAAUCAAAACAAAGAUAGACAAUGCAUUUACACAUAAAAUCUAAAACAAAGCAUGUGUAUUUAAAGUGAAAAGCAAAGGAUGACCACAAAUCUAAGCAGAUCGAAACCCCAAUUAAAGUGAAAAGCUGUUGAAGCCCUAGUUUCAGAAGCCCCAAUUCCCAAUUCAAUCGAAGCCCUGAGAAAAAUAACGACACAAAAUUAAAAAUAUUUUAGUGAUAAAAACGAAGAAACUCGUAAACAAAUUUAAUGAAACUAUAAAUCAGAAGCCCUGAUUUCGCGGAAUAAAGAACCUCUCAAUAAAAUCCCUAAUUGAAGACCUGAAACAAAACUUUAUUCGAUUGAGAGGUGAGUAUGAGGGGAGAGGUUCCCCGAUUUUUUCUAAUCGACGGUGCGUUUCAGCAGGGAGGUGAGAGGAGAUGAGGAUGAGCAGAGAGGUUUAGCAAGAGAGGUGAGGUGAGGUUAGGUGAGUGUAGAGAGUGAGGUGAGUGUUUGUUGAGUGAAAUGUGAAUAUGUCUGAGUCUCUGACUCAAAUGUGAAGCGGGAAGUUUGCCGCUCAUAUUUUUAGCACGCCCCCAAAAAUAUUUUUUGUUUAUUUUUUGUUUUAAUAAUUCAUUUUAUUUUCAAUUUCUUAAUUGUUAAAUAUAUAAAUAUUUUAUAUAUUUUAUAAUUUUAAUGAUAUACUUCAGUUACGGUGUUAUUUUUUUAUACAUAAUUAAUUAGGUUCAUAUUUUGUUAUUUAAUUAUUUUAAAGAGAUGACAUAAAAAUAAUAUUGUAUUCCAAAAUUAUGUUUAUUCAUGUUUAAUAUAUUCUAUUUUAUUAAUUAAUCAUUUGAAUGUAUUUUAGCUUUAUUUUGUGCAAAUUUUAGUAUUACAAAUAAUUAUUUUACUAAUACUCUUUGCAACACAUAAUUUUGGCUAUUGCAACAUCAAAUAGACAUGAAUGUUUAUCGUUGCGAUAGGUGUCGAUUAGUGUCUCUAAUGCAACAUAAUUUUGCAACACUCGCGUUCAUACCAUUGCGGUAGGCCAUAUAUGGCGUAGUGUAUUUUACAGGUUCGGCAAAUUUUACAUAAUGUCUUACAGAUCCAAUUUAGCCAACGAUUAUAGCGAACGCCAUCGGAGAUGCUCUAACUGUCGUACAAGUUGACAUGUCAUCGAAAUACAAAAACUUAAAUUUUUUACAUAAUUUGCAUACUAAGAUGCUAUAAUCAUUUUACAUAUUUUACAUACGGAAGGAAAAAAUAAACUGGAGAAAAUGUAGCGAAAUAUAUUCGUUUAGAAAAACUCAAUUAUGAUACUCAAAUUAUAUCUUUAGUAGUCGAAUAUUGAAUUUAACAUUAUUAUUAAAUUAUCAAAUUGAAUUUUAUACAUGUAGAACUAUUCUUGCAGAAAUCAAGAACCGUCAUACAAGUUGAGGUGUUAUCGAAAUACAAAAACUUAAAACUUUUACAUAAUCUACAUACGUAAGAUUCUAGAAUCAUUUUAACAGUGUCAUUGAAGAUGCUAUAAUAUUUCCUUUGUCGGAUUCAUACUUGUACGUGUAACUUUAGAAAGUAAAAGAAAAAACGUGAGGAAAUGUAGCUAAACAUGUUAGUUCAAAAAAACUCCAUAAAUUACAUCUUUAGUCGUCGAAUAUUGAAUUUAAUAUUAACUUUGAGGUGUAGAGUAAUUUACAUGUCAUUUCAUUCACUCUUUCGUAUGACCAGAGUAGUCGAAUAUUGAAUUUACUCCCUCCAUCCCAAUUUAUAUGAGCUUUUUCCUCAUUUUACACAGGAAUAUUAAAUGAUGUUUAUUUUUUCAUUUCUGCUCAUAUUCAUUGUGUUGACUUUAUACUAAUAUUAGUUGGAUGGUACAUUGGAAAUAAUAAAUAAGAAAGAAUAAGAGUGAAAGAUUAUUGAUAAAUGUACAUUAAAAAAAAAGAGGCUCAACUAUUUUGGGAUAAAUUUUUUUAUCAAAAAAACUCGAUGAAGAGAGUACAUGUCUAUUUACAUGUUUGUUAGAUAUUGACUUUUGUAGUUCCAAAAGAUCGAUGCAAUUAUUAAGUUCAAAGCGACUCAAGUUUCUAUAUAAAGUACUCUAUAAACAGGGUGUGAGAACUCCCAAUUCUAUCAUAACUUGAGCAUUAUUAGCAUCUCUUACACUUGUUAAGCCACCACCCACUGCUAUGCAUACUACUCGUAGCCACUGCGCUAGUAAUGAUACUGUAUUAGUGAGUAAUGUUACUGCACUAGUGAGUAAUGAUACUGCAUGUGUCGAUGAUAAAUCAAUUGUUCGUAGAUCGGGCAAUUAUCCUCCUCCAAUCUGGGAUGAUGAUUUCGUGCAAUCUCUUACCAGUGAUUUUAAGGUAGAAUCAUGUUUCUUUAGUGUGUGUGUGUGUAGUGUAUAAUUAUUCUUACCACUUGACAUAAUGCAUACGCAGGGAGAAAUAUGGAACAAAUAUGCAGGGGACUUGAAGGAACGUGUGAGGAUGCUGCUCAACAAAGAAGAUACAGACAACCUCAAGAAACUUGAGUUAGUUGAUUCAGUUCAGAGGCUUGGAGUGGGAUAUCACUUCAAGAAUGAGAUUAAUAGAAUUCUGGAAGCCGUGUACAAUAAUGAUAAGUGGGACGGCAAAGAUAAUUUGCAUGCCACAUCUCUCAAAUUCCGACUCUUAAGACAACAUUAUUUUGAAGUUCCUCAAGGUGAGUUCAUCUACUCUGUUGUCAGUAUGUUGUUCUUUAGGUACAUAUGCAUGCAAAUAGAUGACAUGCGUCUGAUAUUGGAACUUCUUUGACUGCAAAAUGCAGAGGCUUUUAGUGGAUUUAUGAACAAUCAGGUAAGUUCAAGAUCAGUCUCACCAGUGACAUGAAGGGUAUGCCAUACUUGUACGAGGCCUCGUACCAUUCAAAAACGAAUGAGAAGAUAUUGGACGAGGCACAACGUUUCACAACCAAACAUAUGACAGAUUACGUAAAUAAUACUCCCUCUGUUUUUUUUAUAUGACGCUUUGACUUUUGGCACACACUUUUAAGUGCUUUGACCGGAUAGUUAAAAAUAUUAUUUUUUGAAUUUUCUUUUUCUGAAUAAAAAUUUUAAUUAUAUACUAUUAUUCAGAAAAAGAAAUUUUAAAAAAUAAUAUUUUUAACUAUCCGGUCAAAGCACUUAAAAGUGUGUGUCAAAAGUCAAAGCGUCAUAUAAAAAAAACAGAGGGAGUAGUAAGAACAGUAAAGACGAGAAACUUGGUAAACUUAUUAGCCGUGCUUUGGAACUUCCACUGCAUUGGACGGAGUCAAGAAUGGAAGCAAGGUGGUACACUGACUACUUUGAGACAUCAAUAGUAGCAGAAGAUAUAAAUGAUUCUGAUUUGCUUCGUUUUGCCAAAUUGGACUAUAACAUGCUCCAGGCAAAUUAUCAAGAUGAACUCAAAGAAUUGUCAAGGUAUUGAUUAGCAGCUAUAAUCUCGUUUUUCCUUAACCGGUAAACUCUUUGUUUUAGAACUGUGCAGAUUAUUGUUAUUUGUGUGCAGAUGGUGGAAGCGCAUACAAUGGGCAGAGAAAUUUAGCUUUGCGAGGGGAAGGUUGAUAGAGUGUUUCUACUGGAGCCUGGGUUGCAACUUUGGACCUGAGUUUAAAUAUGCAAGGAGUGUGCUAGCUGCUGUUGGUGCCUUCCUAACUACUAUUGACGAUAUCUAUGAUGUAUAUGGUACUUUGGAGGAACUUGAAUUGUUGACAAAAUUAACAAAAAGGUUAAUCACAUGUAUUAUAUAAACUCAAAACUUAUUAUUAUUCUUAUUAAUAUAUUGUUGGGAUACUGAUACAUAUAUUGUCUGCGGUCACUUGAUUAGUUGGGAUGCGGCAGACUUGGAUCAACCAGGGCCUUGACAGACUCAUUUUCUUCUCAAAUCUCAUCGUAACAAUCUUGCACUCAAUUCUUUCCAAAACUUUUUCCUACCUCUAUUAUUUUUAUAUAUUUUAAUUAUUUCAUUUCAUUCUCCACAACCAAACACAACAAGAUUUAGAUGCUAAGAGUAAAAAAAAUUCUUGUUAUUAGACUGUUAGUUAAAGAAUAAAAAUAACAGUAGUUUAGCUUAAGUGUGAAGUUCAAUGGAUGCCAUUGUACAACAUGGUAACUAAGAAAUCAUUUAUGUGUUGCAGUAUAAAAUAUUUAUAACACCUUAGUCCCAUAUAGAAGAGUAUGGAGAUUUUAAUUCAAUUUAUAAAUAUAAAUAUUAGUACAAAUAUUACUUUAAUUGAGUACCAUCGAUUCCAUAGAGCCCAACCCUGGUUUUGUAAUUGUAUACUGCUGACUAAUUAUAUCAUGAGUUCAGGCCUCAGCUGUCUUCUUUUUACUGACCAUUUUUUUAUUUCCGGGAAUAUUAAUGACAGACCAUGUCCUGUCCUUGCGUGUUUGGCUGUGAUCGAUCAUAUCUAGGGCUGUAAACGAACCGAGCCGAAUCGAGUUCUAUCGAAUUCGAGUCCGAGUCGAGCUAAAGCUCGUUAAGCUUAUCGAGCCGGAAAUUUGGUUCGAACUCGAGUUCGGUAUCAACCGAGUCGAGUAUCGAGUUUUCAGCGAACUUGCGAGUCGAACCCGAGCUCGAGUCGGACCCGAGCUUUCAGUUAAAAUUUUUGUUUUUAAUAUGAAUUUGGGCCUCAACCAGUCAGCCCAUUACAUUUUACAAACCCAUAUGUUUGUUUGUUUGAGAUAAGCCCAACCAUUUAACCUAAAACUAAAAUUUAAAAACAUUUAGCAAAAAAAAAAUAAAAAUUAAAAACUAAAAACUAAUUAACAAAGAAAGUAGAUUAGUCUAUGGUGUGCCCAUGGGCACAUGCUAAGCGCGGAAAAUUUUGGGCUUGGAUCAUUUUGAUUGGCUCCUAUCUCAUGAUAAUGGUGGACCCCCUGCAAAUACACCAACCACACCAAUCAAAAUCUCCCAAAUACAAAAAUUUCCGCGCUUAGCAUGUGCCCAUGGGCACACACUAGCCAAACCGAAAUACUAAAAUCUAAAUCUAAAUGAUUAAAUCCCCAAUUCCCAAAUCGACUCAAACCUAAACCCAUAUCACAACUAUCGCCGCUCCGCUCUCAAGCACUGCCCACUUCCAAUCAACCCCAACGGCCACCGACCCAUCGUCAAUCCACCACUGAUAUGCAGAUGUGAAAUGGCCUGUUGCUGCCUUGCUCGGAACUGGGAUGAACUGUCCACUGAUUUGCUGUGAUUCUGUGAAUCCAUGAUAAUGGCCACCAUUAUUUGUUGACUUGUGCUGUUAUACAGAUUCACAAGUGCUACUAGUUCACUACUUUAAUGUAUUUAAAUUUCUUUUGGUUUGUAUUGGAAGCUUAUAUAAUAGAUCAGUAGAUAAGAAGUUCUAUUAUUAAUUUAUUAUUAUUUAUUUUAAUUAUGUACCAGUUUAUCGAGUUGAGUAUCGAGUCGAACGAGUCGAACACGAGUUCGAGUCUAUACCGAGUCGAGUCGAGCAACUACAAAACUCGAAUCGACUCGUUAAGCUUAUCGAGCUGCUUUGGUUGUUCAAACUCGAGCUCGUUAACGAGCCGAGCCGAGCCGGCCUAACGAUCAGCUCGGUUCGUUUACAGCCCUAAAUUCAUAUCUUUUUGUUUCUUCCUCACUGGUUUCGAUUUCUUUACAGUGCCAGUUCUCUCUUUAGUUUUUUUUAACUGAUUUAUUUCAGCAUACACGUGAAGUUUUGCUCCCUGCCGUGUUUUCAUUAUCUGACAUCAGUUGAGAUAUAUGACAUGUUUGCUACAUGUUUAGGAUGUGAAAUAUAAAUGUGCAUGCAGUUAUUUAAUAUUAUUUUAGUUGAAAAACUGAAAUAUAAUUACAAAGAAUAAAGAAUGUAUUUGUCUGAAUCACAAAAAUUUGAUGUGCAAGUAGUCCUCGAGAUCUUUGGUGUGUGAUCUAUAUUGAGGGACCACAUGCAAUAUUAAACCAUGAAUAUGGUUAGCUGUCAGUAGUUAGGACAAAAGUUGUUAUCAGGACCGUUUGCUUUAUUUUGUCAGCUAGUAUUCUGUCUCCUCAUAGCUUGCUUUAUAUGAGAAGAACUACCAAUGUAUUGCCUCAAGUUUUUAUGCAAUGAUAACAAAUAUUCCUGUUUUUCUCUCUAUGAAUCCUUUAUUUUUGUGCCAUCAGUCACUUUCUCUAGCUUGAAAUUCCAUUGUCAUCAUGGUAUCAGAGCUGUCUUUCCUGCCGGUUACUUCUUCUUCACUCACUUUCUACUUUCUCUGCUAAUCCCCUCUCUUACAUCUAUUUCUAUACCAGAUCUUCUUCUUCUAUAUCUCUCAUCAUGUCUUCUCAAUCAAGAUAUUCUUUUCAAGAUAUGCUCAAUCCUCUCUUCCUCCACCCUUCUGAUACUGCAACCUCCAUUCAAGUGGAAAAGCUGCAAGGCUCAGCUGAUUAUCGCUCCUGGUGUCGCUCCAUGGAGAUAAAUCUAGCCUCCAAACGCAAACUCGGGUUUGUCACUGGUACUGUGACCAAACCAGUAGAUGAUGAACUCAAAGCUGAAAUGUGGGACACAUGCAACAACAUGGUCAUAGCCUGGAUUACAGGUAAUGUGUCUCCCACAGUUCGUAAAUCCAUUAUGUUUAUGUCUGAUGCUUGUGAAAUGUGGAAAAAUCUUGAAAAAAGAUUUACACUCACCAAUGGCUCUCGAAAGUACAAGCUAAACAAAGACCUCUAUGAAGUCAGGCAACACACUGCCUCAAUUAAUGAAUACUACACAACAAUGAAAACGUUGUGGGAAGAGCUUGAUUCAAUGAACUUGCUCCCAACAAUCUUGAGCCCCACUGAAGAAAUCACUAAACUGCUUCAAACUAUCGAGCUGCAGAAAGAUGAGGCACAUUUGUUCCAAUUUCUAAAUGGUGUCAAUGAAGUAUAUGGACCACAGCGUAGCCAGCUGUUAAUGUUGAACCCACUUCCCAGUGUAGAAGUAGCAGUCGCUGUGCUGCAACAAGAAGAGGCUCAAAGAAGUCUCCUCUCCUCUGUUCUACCAGAUCUGGAACUCUCAGCCAUGUACAGCAAGAGUGUGCCAGCCUCCCAACCUGAAAAACCCCUUCUUUGCUCUGCCUGUAAUGUUAAAGGCCACUCUAAAGAGCGUUGCUGGACUGUCAUUGGAUACCCAAAGUGGCAUCCAAAGUACAAGCCCCCCAUGAACAAUACCAAAAUUAAACCAGCAACAACACCUUCACCACACAAAUGGUCCUCCACACCAAAAAUGGCAGCUGCUGCAACUGUAAGCUCUGCUUCUCCUGGUCUCUUAUUCACCCCACAACAACUCGAGCAACUGGCUCAGUUAGUGCCUCACCUGCAAAAUCAAACCAUGAAAACUGCUGAAACAGAGGAAGAUGCACCUUAUCAUUUCUCUGGUAUGAUCUCCACAAUGACUUCAACUAAAUCAGCUGAGGAAUGGAUAAUAGAUUCCGGAGCCUCCGACCACAUGACACCACAUCUCAAACUUCUUCACAAAGCAACUCCAACUGGACAUUCACCUCUCAUAAAUCUGCCAAAUGGGGAUACCACUGUCAUUUCUCACAAAGGUAUGGCCACUCUGCCAAAUGGUCUCAAACUUGAAGAUAUAUUGUGUGUUCCUAAUUUUAAACACAAUUUAUUAUCUGUUCAAAAGUUAGUCAAAGAUAAUGCUUGUCAAGUUCAGUUUUUUCCUAAACACUGCUGCAUCAUAGACACUGUUUCAAAUAAAGUGCUUGGGGUAGGACAUGCUAAAGAUGGCCUAUAUUAUUAUACUCCUGCUGCAAACAUAUCUCUCCCUCUACAAACCUUUACACAUCAAACCAACUCUGCUCAAUCAACUCACUCCAUAGACCUCUGGCACUGCAGAUUAGGCCAUGCUCCUGUACCUAAAAUCACUAAAAUCUCUAGCAUUAAAGCCUCUUCCAAACAGCUUUCCUCUUUGUGUCUAACCUGUCCUCUAGCUAGAUUCACAAAACUACCCUUCUCACUGAGUACAUCACAUGCAAAAUCAGCUUUUGACUUGGUGCACAUAGACUUGUGGGGACCUUACAAAGAAUGCACCAAAAGCACUUGUAGGUAUUUCUUGACAAUAGUUGAUGAUUAUUCACGAUAUACUUGGUUAUAUCUAUUGUCCAACAAGUCUGAUUCUCUGCCAAUCUUGAAGACAUUUGUCCAGUUCAUUAAAAAUCAUUUCAGUGGUGCUUCAAUCAAAGUCAUACGAUCUGAUAAUGGUUUAGAAUUUGACAACAUUAUGUGCAAGCAGUUUUUUGCCAACAAUGGCAUUCUCCACCAGACCUCGUGUCCAUAUCGUCCACAGCAAAAUGGACGGGUCGAGCGGAAGCAUCGAUUUAUUUUAGAAGUGGCACGGGCUCUUAAAUUUCAGUCAAAUGCUCCCAUACAUUUGUGGGGAGACUGCGUUUUGACAGCAGUCUACAUUAUUAAUCGCCUUCCUACUUCGCUCCUGGACAACAAAACACCCUACGAGGUGUUUUACAAAGAGCUUCCUGACUAUGAGUCUAUGAGAGUGUUUGGGUGCUUGGCUGUUGCUACAAAUCCUGUAGUUACACAUGACAAAUUUGCAGCCAGAGGGGUUACAUGUGUAUUUGUGGGCUAUCCUCCUAUGAAGAAGGGAUUUCGUUUGAUAAAUCUUGAAACAAUGAAAGAAUUCAACUCCAGAGAUGUCAAAUUUCACGAAGAUAUCUUUCCCUUUAAAACAAGCUCUUUCUCUCCUAUGACACCAUUGACUGAUCCAGCCAAUGAUCCUCAGUUCUUGACAUCCAUAUUCUCUGAUGAAGAAUAUGUCUCUGAAUUACCCAGAUCUCCAUCUCCCGAGAGAGUUCAAUCUUCUUCAUCAGAUGAUGAUACUGAGAUGGAUACCAACUUAAAUGUCAGAAGAUCCACAAGACUCCAUCGUCCCCCACAGUGGCAUAAUGACUAUGUCGCCAACUGUACCACUCAGACCAUCUCUACUGUGACUGACACUGCAGUCAACAACAAUUUUCAUUGCCUCCUAGCCACUCUUGCUACUACAAAAGAUCCAGUAUCGUUUAAAGUCGCAGUACAAGAGCCACACUGGGUGUCAGCUAUGAAUGCUGAGCUCGAAGCACUGGAGCGAAAUGGAACAUGGAUUGUCACUACACUUCCUCCGGGUAAAACUGCCAUCGCUUGCAAAUGGGUGCAUAAAACGAAGUUCAAUCCAGACGGAACCAUAGAGCGAUAUAAGUCCCGUUUAGUCAUUUUGGGCUGUCGACAAAAAUAUGGUGAGGAUUUUAAAGAAACAUUCGCUCCAGUCGCGAAAAUGACAACGGUUCGCACAUUGCUUGCUGUCGCAGCAAUUCAGAAUUGGUACACAUUGCAGAUGGACGUGUCAAAUGCGUUCCUGAAUGGGGAACUCUUUGAGGAUAUAUACAUGAAACUGCCACCCGGUUAUAUGCACUUUGGUUAUCGAAUCAAGUUGAAUGAUGCUGCUCAAGGUCCUUCACACUGCAACUAUGUCUGCAAGCUUCUAAAAGCCUUGUAUGGGCUAAGACAGGCGCCACGAUUGUGGUUCUCUAAACUCUCUCUCACACUGCUUGCUCUUGGGUUCAAGCAAUCGAAAUCAGAUUACAGCCUGUUCCUGAAACAACAGCCAUCAUCCACCCUUACUGUUCUUGUUUAUGUUGACGACCUUCUCAUUUGUGGCUCUGCUAUGAAAGAUAUUGAUAACCUGAAAGCAAUGUUGUCUGCUCAAUUUCACAUGAAAGACCUUGGCCCUAUCAGCUAUUUUCUAGGCCUCGAAAUAGCUCGCUCUUCAUCUGGCUUCUUCAUCUCACAGAAAAAAUACACUCUUGAUCUCCUUACUCAACAUGGCCUGCUGAAUUGUAAACCUCUCUCUCUGCCUAUGGAUUCUCAUCUGAAAUUGACUCCAACCAUUGGUGAUCCUCUUCCUAAUCCACUACCAUACCAACGCCUGUUAGGACAACUUAUUUACCUCACAAUCACACGCCCUGAUAUCUCAUUUACAGUUCAUACUCUCAGCCAAUACAUGAAUGCUCCUACCACGGUUCAUUAUCAAGCUGCCAAGCGUCUUCUACGCUAUCUUGCUGGUUCUCCAGCUCAAGGUAUCCUCCUGGCAUCUUCUAGUGCGGCUCACCUCACUGCCUACUGCGACAGUGACUGGGCAAGCUGCCUUGCUACUCGCAAAUCCACCACGGGCUACUGCAUUUUGCUUGGGGAUUCACCCAUAUCCUGGAAAUCGAAGAAGCAAAGUGUAGUUGCUCGCUCUUCCGCUGAAGCCGAAUAUCGAGCAAUGGCAUUUACUACAUGUGAAGUCACCUGGUUAUCCUCCCUGCUAAAGGACUUGGGUCUCAAAGAUCUCCCUCCUGCCAACCUCAAAUGUGAUAAUAAAGCUGCUCUUGCCAUCGCUGCAAAUCCAGUGCAACACGAGCGCACUAAACAUGUGGAAAUCGACUGCCACUAUGUUCGUGAUCAACUCAACAAAGGCCUCCUUACAACUUCUCAUGUCUCAUCUUCUGAACAAAUAGCUGACUUGCUCACCAAAGUUCUGCCAGUCAAACAACACAAUCACUUGCUGCACAAGCUCGGAGCUUCCGCUUUCCCUCCAUCUCCAGCUUGAGGGGGAGUAUUGAGGGACCACAUGCAAUAUUAAACCAUGAAUAUGGUUAGCUGUCAGUAGUUAGGACAAAAGUUGUUAUCAGGACCGUUUGCUUUAUUUUGUCAGCUAGUAUUCUGUCUCCUCAUAGCUUGCUUUAUAUGAGAAGAACUACCAAUGUAUUGCCUCAAGUUUUUAUGCAAUGAUAACAAAUAUUCCUGUUUUUCUCUCUAUGAAUCCUUUAUUUUUGUGCCAUCAGUCACUUUCUCUAGCUUGAAAUUCCAUUGUCAUCAAUCUAGAGGAACCUUGAACGUUUGCAUUCUGCAGGGACAGCAUUAGCAAACCUCUGCUUGUCAGAGCAGUAGUUGUACACCAUAUGCUUUGAUUGUACCCAACGCAGUCUAUUUCGGCCAGCUGCAUCCAACUGGUGUGUUCGCCAUCCCUCGUCGGUGCUUGAAGAAGUUGAUGAUCCACAAGAUGAUGAUCCGGAAGAUGAUUUGGGACACCCUUUUAUAUUGAAGUUUCUGUAGUAGGCUGUGAAUGGAGCUUUAGUCCAGUCUGUCUUAACACGACCGCCUUGUGUUGCCCAGUCAUCAGCAUUCCAUAAGCUCGCAUAGACUCUCAUAUGCUGACUCUUGGGAAACGGCACCCCUAUUGAUUCCUGAUUGUUGAAUACUCUGAUCGGGUUGUUAUCCACCAAGAAACUGAAAGCAAAAAAAAAUUAAAAAUUGUCAGCAAAAGCAAUCAGAGUAGAAGCUGCAAUUUGGUACGAAAAUGGAAAGUUAUAAGUCCGGUGGAAAAGGUCUACUUACAUAAUCCUUUGGGGAUUCCAAACAAUGGAGUAGGUGUGGAAGGAAGAAGUGGGAUCGAACCAGAGCUGGAAUUGCUGUUCUUUGUCACCUUUGCCUUGUGCAAACACAUUCGUGUGGAUUGUAUAUGGACUUCCUGAAGAGUUCCCUAAAAACUCGAAGUCAAUCUCGUCAUGUCCGGCUCCUUGAGAAGAUAACUGCGCAACAUUAAAUAGAUGUCAGGCAUUUAGAUACCAUUGAUAACUAAGGACAGCAUAUAGUACAUCAAUACGAUAAAUUAUAAUGUAGGGAGUGACGUUACUGACAUAGAAGGUAGUAACAGUGCCAGCAGAGUUUCCAGGGACAAGCUUGAGUUGCAUAUCGAAUCUUCCAAACAAGUACUCAUUCUUGGAUUGAAACCCUGAGCCAGAAGCUUGGUCGAGAGACAAAGUGAGGUCCCGACCAGCAUUGAGUAUCUUGGCGCGCUGAUCACCCCAAGUGAUCUCCGCGUCUUUGUAGAAAUCAGCAGCUGCCUGUGGAGCUUGGCUGGUCAUGAGAACUGAAAGUAACAGAAGCGCUAGCAUGCAGGUUGACAUGUUAUAAUAGGCACUCGAAAUGAGAGAAGACUUCACUGGGCUUGAAUUAAUCGAAAGUUAGAGAUUGCUGAUGAAAAAGAAGAAUGUAUGUGGAGAGUGAUUGUUGAGGUAAGAAUGGGAAUGGGUGAUAUUUAUAGGUGGGAGUUGUUGAGUAGAGCACAAAAGGAAGCAUCCCAGACACAGGAUGGAUAAUGUAGAAGCUAUAUGUUGUUGACAGCAGGGCCGGCUCAUAGUACAGGCCAUUUAGGCAACCGCCUAAGGCCCCCAAUAUCAAGAGGCCCCCAAUUUUAUAGUAGUAUAUAUAUGUGUAGGUAUACAUGUGAAAAAAAAAAUUAGUUUCAUAAUAUUAAAAAAAAAUCAAAAAUAAGAUAAAAAUUAAUAUCUAAAUUUUGUAAAAAAUUGAAAAUUUUGUGUGAUCAACUUUUCAAAAACAUAAUUAAAAUACUAGUACAAUAUUAUUAAUCAUAUUUUAUUUUUUUGGUAACUUAAUAAAUACUUACUUAAAUCCAUAACCUAAUAAAUAUGGAAAUGAUUGUUUUAUAUUAAUUUUAUAUAUUAAGAGACAUAAUUAUUAAAAUUAAUAACAUAAAAUAUUAUACACAUUCUAGUUAAAUAAUAUAUUAGAAUUAGGCAUUAACAAAAUAUUUAAUAACAAUUCUUUUAGGGUGCAUCUGUAUUUGACUGUGUACUUGAAUUAUAUACAACUACCGAGGUAAGCUAUUUAUAUUAUAUACAUUUCAGAAUACAAAGUCAUUGUUGAUUAUUAAUUUACAACGUUAAUAAAACCUUUCAUCUCCCGGUCAUUACCAUCUUUGCUUUAUAACUUCUCCUCUGUACAUUCAGUGCACAAGAAGUGCUUUCAGAGUUUUUUAAGUUUGGUGGAAAAAUUGCUUGAGCCUGAUUAUUAUUGCUUUGCUCGAUCGGAUUAUAAGAGUUUUACAACUAGCUACUGCCAUCAUCUGUAUUCUGUCAGGUUCUAACUUUAGUUAUAAAUUUUUUUAUUUUCUUGUCAAUUCCUUAUUCCAGCAUAUUCUUAUUUUUGUUCUUGUGUUGCAUUAUUGGAUUUGCCAUGUCAACUAGAAAAUAUGAAUCAGGUUAUAAAAAAUUGCAAAAGAAGAGAAGAGUUGAAGCAAUGAUAGAAAAACAAAAAGGAUCUCUAGAUAAGUUUGUAAAACCUACAAAAAGAUAUACAGAAACUACUUCAGAACCUCAUGUAGAUGAAUCAAAUGAUAAUACUAUCCUUGAUAGUGGUAAAAUUAUGGAGGAAGAAAAUAUUUUAGAUGAUCACAAAAAUCUUUCCGACUCUGAGGCUAAUGUGGAAGAACAAAAUUUUGAUACAGAUCAUACUGUACUCCCUAGAAAUUUGGAUGACCCUAGUAACUGGAAAAAUAUUAGUUCUAAUUUAAGAGAUUUGUUAGUGGAGAGAGGUCCUGUACAACUCUGUGAUUUAGAUUUUCCCAAGGAUAAAUCUUCCCGACAUUUUUCCUCUAUACAUUAUACUCAAAAAAUGGCAAAUGGUGAGAAGUUUGAAAGAAAAUGGUUUACUGCUUGGAUUGAAUCAGAAACGAGACUUUCAAGAAAUAAAACAAUUGACAAGCAUAUUCAAGAUCGAAUAAACAAAGAUAGAGAACAUUGGAGAAAUGUGUUAAAAAGAAUUAUUGCUGUAGUGAAAACUCUUGGUAUGAAAAAUUUAGCUUUUCGUGGGACAAAUGAAAAAAUUUAUCAAGAGAAUAAUGAGAAUUUUUUAGCUUUGAUUGAGAUGAUUGCAGAAUUUGAUCCUAUUAUGCAAGAACAUGUUAGACGUAUUAAGGAUGAUAGCCUUCACACUCACUAUCUUGGUCAUGCAAUGCAAAAUGAACUGAUUAAUUUACUGGCAUGUGAAAUCAAAACAAAAAUUAUUAAAAAGGUCCAGGAUGCUAAAUAUUUUUCUGUUAUAUUAGAUUGUACUCCUGAUGUAAGUCACAAAGAACAAAUGUCUAUUGUAAUUAGAUGUUUAGAUAUUUCAUCAAGUCCUAUAAAAAUUGUUGAAUAUUUUAUAGAAUUUUUAGUGGUAGAUGAUACAACUGGUAAGGGACUUUUUGAUGCUAUAGUGGAUGAGAUUAAAAAUAUCGGACUUGACAUAGAUGAUCUUAGAGGACAAGGAUAUGAUAAUGGUUCUAAUAUGAAAGGAAAACAUCAGGGGGUACAAAAAAGGCUUUUAGAUAUUAAUCCUAGAUCAUUUUAUAGUCCUUGUGGUUGUCAUAGUCUAAAUUUGGUGAUUUGUGAUAUGGCUAAUUCUUGUACUAGAGCUACUGAUUUUUUUGGAGUCGUGCAGCGUAUAUAUACAAUAUUUUCUUCAUCCACUAAAAGAUGGAAAGUUUUACAAGAUCAUAUUCCCAGUUUUACUCUCAAGUUUUUGUCACAAACACGUUGGGAAAGUCGUAUUGAAAGUAUCAAAGCUAUAAGAUUUCAAGCACCACAGGUAAGAGAUGCUUUAUUGACAUUAUAUGAUGUUGGUGGGGAUGCAAAAAUUAAAAGUGAGGCAAAAUGUUUAGCCACAUAUGAGCUUGCAAAUUUUGAGUUUUUAUUGGCAAUGAUAAUUUGGUAUGAUAUAUUAUUUGCUGUUAACUCUGUUAGUAAAAAUAUGCAGGCUAAAGAUAUUUGUAUUGAUGAUGCUAUUGAACAAUUAAAUGGUCUUAUUAGUUUUUUUCAAAAAUAUAGAGAAGAUGGGUUUGAAAAUGCUAUGAAUUCUGCCAAAGAAAUUGCUAGUGAGAUGGAUGUAGAGCCUAAAUUUUUAGAGAGACGUAUCAUUCGUAGAAAUAAAAAAUUUGAUGAUAAUAUAGACAAUGAAACUAGGAAAUCCCCUGAAGAAUUAUUUAGAACUGAUUACUUUUUAUAUAUUGUAGAUCAAGCUUUAUCAUCACUGCAAAGUAGAUUUGAUCAAUUUAAAAUAUAUGAAAAUAUUUUUGGCUUUUUAUUUAGUAUAAAAAAAAUGAAGUCCUUAGAUGAUAAAAAAUUGAAAGAAAGUUGUCUUAAUUUAGAAAAUUCCCUAAAACAUAAUAAUACUUCAGAUAUUGAUGGUUUAGAUUUAUUUUUUGAAUUAAGAAUUUUGAGAGAAUUUAUGCAUGAGAAUAAUAGCACUCCCCUUGACAUACUAAAUUAUAUUAAAAGGAUUAAUUCUUUUCCCAAUGCUUAUAUUGCAUAUAGAAUUAUGUUAACUAUUCCAGUGAGUGUUGCUUCUGCAGAAAGAAGUUUUUCUAAAUUAAAAUUGAUAAAAAAUUAUUUGAGAUCAACAGUAUCACAGGAGAGACUCAAUGGGUUAGCUAUUUUAUCGAUUGAAAAGGAAUUCUUGCAAGAAAUUGAUUAUGAUAAUUUUAUCAAGACAUUUGCAUCACAAAAGGCUAGAAAAAUAAAUUUUAUAUGAAUUGUUGUUUACAUUCCGGGCCUCUACUUUCUUGUUUUUAGAUUUAAUAUGAUGGAACAAGUAAAGGUGGACAAAACUGCUCAACUUCUGGUGUUUGCUGCUGCUGUUGCUGCUUGAAGACUAGUGAACAUGUAAAAAUAUUAUUUUGUAACAAGUAAAUUUUUUAGUAGUGUGUUUAGGAUGAUUUUAUGUUUGUAAUGUUCAAAUAUUAUAAAAUUUUCUAUUUAAUAUAUAUUAAUGCAAUAUUAGAUUUUUUUUUUAAAUUAGGCCUCAUUUUUGUGAUUCGCCUAAGGCCCCCGAGUUGCUUAAACCGGCCCUGAGUAGUCAUGAACAUUCAAACACUUGAAGAAACCAGCUAUAUGCCUCAUUGACGCGUUCUGCUUUAUUAUAUUGCUCGCAGAGUCGCAUAAUUGCAAUGGACACAUAGUAUGAUGGUCCAUUGACAAAAGCUCCCAUGGUAUAGCACUACAGCCAAUAAAAUAAGGCAGAUUAUUUUUAAGGUCAAUCGCCAAAAAAUAAAUAGAAAUAUUGUCACGUAUAUACACACUUGUGAAUCAGAAGCAGCCUGGACUGGUCAAUUUUAUUCGGAUAUUUUAUCAAAUUAACUUUCACUAUCAUGUACAGUUCACCAAUCCGCUACCAGCCAUUAAGCAUACAACUAGCAACAAGAGGUCGAAGGUUCGAAUUUCAGUGAAGACAAACGUGGACAUGCCUAUUUAAAGUUUACCCUUAUUAUGUAAACCUAUGUAAGUUGUUUGUGUUGGACAGAUUUUGUUUCUUAGACGAGUAUUGAACAACAUAGUAUCAACUGAUGAUGGCAAGAAAUGAGCUGCAUCAAAUUUGUGAUUCCGUCUGGCCCCUUGUCAAGUACUCACUCCGUCCCUUUUACAUGUCCAUUUUGACUAGUCAAAUUGACUAUGUUUUGAUUAUAAUAUAUAUAUAUAUAUAUAUAUAUAUCAUAUAAUUGAAAAAAAUAAUAAAAAUGAUGUAAUUAGAAAGUAUAUUUGGUCUAUUUUAACAUGCAAUUUUCAGAUUUUAAAAAUAAUGAAUAAAUAAUUUGUAAUAUUUAGUCAAAAAUUGGUCAAUUUGACUUCUUAAGAACCAAAAUGAAUAUGUAAAAGAGGACGGAGGUAUAUAUCCAAAUACGAAUAUCAUCACUCAUCAGCCGUCCUCUUCGGAACUCCCUGCUAUAUUCUUCCCGGGAAAAUCGAUGUUUAGAUAUCAACCACGACCUCGCACAUUUUACUUUGAUUGAUCACAUCUCCGUUUGUGUUUACAACACUGGUUCUGAUUUCUUUUUACUGGUUCGUUAUAUUGCCAGUUUACGAUUAUCAUCCAUGCUCUUCAGUUUUUCUACUGAUCUACCCGUGCCAUGCGUAAAAAGUUUCUGUUGUCUGCUGCGUUUUAAUGCUUCGAUAUCUAAGAUCACGCGAGAUAUUGAAGAUGAUCGGUAACUGUUUUUAACGUUUAAGGUAAAAAUGCAGCUGCAGCAAAAUUAAGUAUAGUUCAAUGCUCUGAAGAUACAGAAGCUGAAAUUUGGGAGUAAAUUAAAAUAAACUUUUUUUUAUUGGCUGAUCUUUGAUGAAUUAAGUGACUGGAUUUAUUUAACAUUUGAAUUAGAAAAACAGAAAUUCAAUUACAAAGAAUAAAGAAUAUAUUUAUUUGUUGGAAUCACAAUAAGCUGCUGACAAAAUCAGUCAUCAAAAUCAUGGUUGAGUGUCGUCUAGAGGAACCUUGAGCGCUUGCAUUCAGCAGGGACAGCAUUAGCAAACCUCUGUUUGUCAGAGCAGUAGUUGUACACCAUAUGCUUUGACUGCACCCAUCGGAGUCUGUUUCGGCCAGCUGCAUCCAACUGGUGUGUUCGCCAUCCCUCGUUGGUGUUUGAAGAGGUGGAUGAUCCACAAGAUGAUGAUCCGGAAGAUGACUUGGGACACCCUUUUAUGUUGAAGUUCCUGUAGUAAGCUGUGAAUGGAGCUUUAGUCCAGUCGGUCUUGACACGUCCACCUUGAGUUGCCCAGUCAUCAGCAUUCCAUAAGCUGGCAUAGACUCUCAUGUGCUGACUCUUUGGGAAUGGCACUCCUAUUGAUUCCUGAUUGUUGAAUACUCUGAUCGGGUUGUUAUCCACCAAGAAACUGAAAGCAAAAGAAAUAUAAAAAUUGUCAGCAAAAGCAAUCGGAGUAGAAGCUGCAAUUUGGUACGAAAAUGGAAAGUUAUAAGUCCGGUGAAAAAGGUGUACUUACAUGAUUCUUUGGGGAUUCCAGACAAUGGAGUAGGUGUGGAAGGAAGAAGUGGGAUCGAACCAGAGCUGGAAUUGCUGUUCUUUGUUCCCUUUGCCUUGUGCAAAUACAUUCGUGUGAAUUGUGUAUGGACUCCCUGAUGAGUUUCCCAGAAACUCAAAAUCAAUCUCAUCAUGUCCAGCUCCUUGAGAAGAUAGCUGCAAGUACAUGAUAUAAAUAAAUAUUAGGCAUGAAAAUAGCUUUGUUAACUAAAGAUCAUAUGGUGCAUGAAUAUGAUAAAAUGUAAUGUAAGGUUACUAACAUAAAAGGUAGUGACAGUGCCAGCAGAGUUUCCAGGGACAAGCUUGAGUUGCAUAUCGAAUCUUCCAAACAAGUACUCAUUCUUAGACUGAAAACCUGAGCCAGAAGCUUGGUCGAGAGACAAAGUAAGGUCUCGACCAGCAUUGAGUAUCUUGGCGCGCUGAUCACCCCAAGUGAUUUCCGCGUCUUUGUAGAAAUCAGCAGUUGCCUGUGGAGCUUGGGUGCUCACGAGAACUGAAAGUAUUAGAAGCGCUAACAUGCAGAUUGACA
RNAcentral lists this long non-coding RNA (24837 nucleotides) under Daucus carota (carrot). RNAcentral's name for it is "long non-coding RNA (DCAR_LNC003163)". The record is from RNAcentral. Lineage: Eukaryota; Viridiplantae; Streptophyta; Magnoliopsida; Apiales; Apiaceae.